UACGUAGGGAGCAAGCGUUGUUCGGAUUUACUGGGCGUAAAGGGCGCGUAGGCGGUAGCACAAGUCAGUUGUGAAAUCUCCGGGCUUAACUCGGAAAGGUCAACUGAUACUGUGCGACUAGAGUGCAGAAGGGGCAACUGGAAUUCUCGGUGUAGCAGUGAAAUGCGUAGAUAUCGUAAGGAAGGCCGGUGGCGAAAGCGAGCCUCUGGACAGUUACUGACGCUGAUGCACGAAGGCCAGGGGAGCAAACGGG
RNAcentral lists this ribosomal RNA (253 nucleotides) under uncultured bacterium. RNAcentral's name for it is "partial 16S ribosomal RNA". It matches the Rfam family "Bacterial small subunit ribosomal RNA", at positions 524 to 776 of the family's 1533-position model. The record is from RNAcentral.